RNAcentral lists this long non-coding RNA (1599 nucleotides) under Felis catus (domestic cat). Its description in RNAcentral is "lncRNA (ENSFCAG00000045343.2)". The record is from RNAcentral. Lineage: Eukaryota; Metazoa; Chordata; Mammalia; Carnivora; Felidae.
CCCUGCGCCGACCCCCACCCCCCACCCUGCGCCUCCGCGGGCUCCUCCUCCCCGCACAGUCCCGCCCCCGUGCCGCCCCCGUCCCCCCGGGUGCGCUCCUCGAGUCAGCCCAGCGGUGUCGCCGUUGCCCUUGGAACCGGGCCACCCGCGCAGCCCCACUUUGGGGGUGUCGUUUCCAGCAGAGACGGGACCCCAGGGUGGGGGAGCGUGAGGUCAGAGAGCGCGUGCGGGGAAAACGGACCUGCGGUCCAGGGCGUCCGCCUGGAGUCAGGGGUCAGGGUCAGUCCUGGGGACUGGGGGGGGGGUCGUGGGGGGGGCCUGGGGGGGGGUUCCCCGGGGUUCAGGGGUCAGGGUCAGUCCCGGGGAAGCAGGGUGGGGCUCACAGCCCUUUGCUCCCCGCAGAGGAUUGCGGGUCCCUGUGAGCGACGCAGUCCUGGGCAGGUGUCCGCUGGGCAGUGUGUGUCCCACAGCUGCCUCCCAGGUCAGAGCCCUGCGGGCUGGACUGUGGACCCUGCGGGCUGGCGACAGGACAGCCAUCUGCCCAAGAAGACAGGAGCCACAGCCACUGAUCCUGUCAUAGACACGUGUAUUAUUGUGAACGGUGCCUGCCCCGCCCCAGCACACACUAGUUUCUUCAUUGCUACCUUUGGGACACAGCGCAGGACGGUGUCUCUUUUCCCGUGGCCCCUCUUGAGGAGGACUGUCUGCGCUCAGGCUGGAUGAUCCUCGUGCGGCCCAACAAGUGUGCACGGGAGCUGAGGCCACGGGCACAUUCUGCAGGUGAACAGCGUUCUGCAGGUGUCUGCCUUCACCUUGAGCGAGCAGAGUCGGCGUGGCCGGAGGCUGGAACACGCAGGCUCACCGGGGACAGGUGCACGUAGCGGGGAAGCGGACAGCCUGUGGAAAUCCUCAGUCUGCUUCCGUCGAUCUCGAAACGGAGAUGGCUUGGACCCAGCACACAGAGUCACGUGGAAAGCUCACCAGGACAUUUAUUUGGACGCUUUACAGUCUGAGCGCCAGCGGGAGGGAUGGAACCCAACAGCUGAGUUCCCCGCACGCAGCCCCGGGCCGGACGGAAAAAGCGGAGGCGUCACCACGGCCAUUGCAGGUGCCCGUCCUUCCCGGGCCUGCACGGAGCCCACUGCUCUGGUCUGUCAAGCGGUUGGUCACCCCAAACCUCCACCCCCGCUGGGGGCCACGCUCUUCUUACCAUUUGAUUCAUGUGGCCUGUGCUGCUCGGUCCCCAGCCAAUGUGCUGGACAGGCCACAGGUGCUGUAAAAUCUUUGCACGUGGCACAGGGAGCGGGGUGCCCGCACUCACUCGUGGCGGAACCCCGUGGCUGCCGUGGACAUGAACUAGGAACUGAGUGCCGGGCCAGGGCGGGGGGUGCCGUGGGCGCGGUGUGCCUGCUUCCUGGCCUAGUCUGGGCUGUCAGUCCCCUCUGGAACGCCCCGGGCCCAAGGGCAGAGCCCUGUCACAGCUGUGACGCACUCUGUGCGUAGUGAUGGGAAUAGAUGAGUCGGAACGGCCUCUCUAGAGCGACCAUCACUUUAUUGGAGAUGAAUAAAAAAAGACUUUUUAAAGGAUUUUUUUUUUUU